Schizosaccharomyces pombe (fission yeast) is the source of this 742-nucleotide non-coding RNA. The record is from the annotation of a GenBank genome assembly. Lineage: Eukaryota; Fungi; Ascomycota; Schizosaccharomycetes; Schizosaccharomycetales; Schizosaccharomycetaceae.
UUCGUACCAUCCUCAAGAUCUACAUGCGCCAAGCAAACUAAACACUUGAUUUGCGCAGCCAUAUAUGCACGUGGAUUGGAAUGCUGGAAAUAAACAACAGUCAAGUUUCAUACAAUAUUUUCAUGAGUAGCUCAGAUCGUAGUGUAUUUUAUUCCCUUCUCAAGACGGUUACUUGCGACUGGAAACCAUAUAUUUUCAAUCGCAAAAUUAAUGUUAACCAAGGAAAAUUUGAUACUUCCAACAAUACGCUUUAUUCUUUCAAUUUAAUAUCUUAAACAUGUUAAAAGAUCAAGUUAGUACAACAUCAUCUUGAAACAAAUCCAUAAUGUUAUGUUUAAAAAAAAAAAAAAAAAACCUUUCAAACAUAUUAUUAUUUAGGUUGCAGGAUACAUUCUUCAAUAUUCGCUAUAGAUUUGUUUACACAUUAAAGUAUCACUUUUCAAUCUAUCCUUGGUUCUUCAACGUGCGUAGUUCAUCCAUCACCUUGAUAGGAUCGUUAAGACCCAGAUGCUUUUGCAGUUCUGGAUCAGUUACCCUCAUAAAUGGAUUAAAUUGUUUCUCCUGCCCCAUCGUUAUGUGGCCUGCAAUAAAUUGGUUGUGAUUGCAAAGACCCUCCAAAUGAUUUAAUGCCUCUGAUUGAAGAUGUUUUGAGGCGAAUUUCACAUUCGAUUUUGUAUAUUCGUGUCCAGGCUAGGAAACUUGUUAGGAAAAAAAAAAUAAAAAAAAAUAAAAAAAAAUAAAA